CAGGAAAUAAAUCAAGUAGUUAAUCUCUCCCAUCUAGUCAACCAAUCUAAAUUCUGGAUAUUUUGGUGUGAGGAUCCCUAAAAGGCAAGCUACAGGACUCUAAAUUAAGCAAGAUUAGAUCCUACAGAAUUUUGAGAGAAGCAAGAAAGGAACAUAAUUUACAGAAUUAAAUUUGGAUUCCAGAUGAGGUGGCUACAGUAGGUUGAAGUUGGUAACAAUGUUGGACACAAUAAGAAACACCCGAUACACCCAGAUUCUUCUUAGUGUUUCUUGGCACAAAGAUCUGAUAU
Molecule: long non-coding RNA, 290 nt
Filed under: Elaeis guineensis (African oil palm)
Lineage: Eukaryota; Viridiplantae; Streptophyta; Magnoliopsida; Arecales; Arecaceae
Description: long non-coding RNA (EGUI_LNC078899)
Source: RNAcentral